GGGUUGUGAGGUUAAGCGACUAAGCGUACACGGUGGAUGCCCUGGCAGUCAGAGGCGAUGAAGGACGUGCUAAUCUGCGAUAAGCGUCGGUAAGGUGAUAUGAACCGUUAUAACCGGCGAUUUCCGAAUGGGGAAACCCAGUGUGAUUCGUCACACUAUCAUUAACUGAAUCCAUAGGUUAAUGAGGCGAACCGGGGGAACUGAAACAUCUAAGUACCCCGAGGAAAAGAAAUCAACCGAGAUUCCCCCAGUAGCGGCGAGCGAACGGGGAGGAGCCCAGAGCCUGAAUCAGUGUGUGUGUUAGUGGAAGCGUCUGGAAAGGCGCGCGAUACAGGGUGACAGCCCCGUACACAAAAAUGCACAUACUGUGAGCUCGAUGAGUAGGGCGGGACACGUGGUAUCCUGUCUGAAUAUGGGGGGACCAUCCUCCAAGGCUAAAUACUCCUGACUGACCGAUAGUGAACCAGUACCGUGAGGGAAAGGCGAAAAGAACCCCGGCGAGGGGAGUGAAAAAGAACCUGAAACCGUGUACGUACAAGCAGUGGGAGCCUCUUUAUGGGGUGACUGCGUACCUUUUGUAUAAUGGGUCAGCGACUUAUAUUCUGUAGCAAGGUUAACCGAAUAGGGGAGCCGAAGGGAAACCGAGUCUUAACUGGGCGUUAAGUUGCAGGGUAUAGACCCGAAACCCGGUGAUCUAGCCAUGGGCAGGUUGAAGGUUGGGUAACACUAACUGGAGGACCGAACCGACUAAUGUUGAAAAAUUAGCGGAUGACUUGUGGCUGGGGGUGAAAGGCCAAUCAAACCGGGAGAUAGCUGGUUCUCCCCGAAAGCUAUUUAGGUAGCGCCUCGUGAAUUCAUCUCCGGGGGUAGAGCACUGUUUCGGCAAGGGGGUCAUCCCGACUUACCAACCCGAUGCAAACUGCGAAUACCGGAGAAUGUUAUCACGGGAGACACACGGCGGGUGCUAACGUCCGUCGUGAAGAGGGAAACAACCCAGACCGCCAGCUAAGGUCCCAAAGUCAUGGUUAAGUGGGAAACGAUGUGGGAAGGCCCAGACAGCCAGGAUGUUGGCUUAGAAGCAGCCAUCAUUUAAAGAAAGCGUAAUAGCUCACUGGUCGAGUCGGCCUGCGCGGAAGAUGUAACGGGGCUAAACCAUGCACCGAAGCUGCGGCAGCGACACUAUGUGUUGUUGGGUAGGGGAGCGUUCUGUAAGCCUGCGAAGGUGUACUGUGAGGUAUGCUGGAGGUAUCAGAAGUGCGAAUGCUGACAUAAGUAACGAUAAAGCGGGUGAAAAGCCCGCUCGCCGGAAGACCAAGGGUUCCUGUCCAACGUUAAUCGGGGCAGGGUGAGUCGACCCCUAAGGCGAGGCCGAAAGGCGUAGUCGAUGGGAAACAGGUUAAUAUUCCUGUACUUGGUGUUACUGCGAAGGGGGGACGGAGAAGGCUAUGUUGGCCGGGCGACGGUUGUCCCGGUUUAAGCGUGUAGGCUGGUUUUCCAGGCAAAUCCGGAAAAUCAAGGCUGAGGCGUGAUGACGAGGCACUACGGUGCUGAAGCAACAAAUGCCCUGCUUCCAGGAAAAGCCUCUAAGCAUCAGGUAACAUCAAAUCGUACCCCAAACCGACACAGGUGGUCAGGUAGAGAAUACCAAGGCGCUUGAGAGAACUCGGGUGAAGGAACUAGGCAAAAUGGUGCCGUAACUUCGGGAGAAGGCACGCUGAUAUGUAGGUGAAGCGACUUGCUCGUGGAGCUGAAAUCAGUCGAAGAUACCAGCUGGCUGCAACUGUUUAUUAAAAACACAGCACUGUGCAAACACGAAAGUGGACGUAUACGGUGUGACGCCUGCCCGGUGCCGGAAGGUUAAUUGAUGGGGUUAGCGGUAACGCGAAGCUCUUGAUCGAAGCCCCGGUAAACGGCGGCCGUAACUAUAACGGUCCUAAGGUAGCGAAAUUCCUUGUCGGGUAAGUUCCGACCUGCACGAAUGGCGUAAUGAUGGCCAGGCUGUCUCCACCCGAGACUCAGUGAAAUUGAACUCGCUGUGAAGAUGCAGUGUACCCGCGGCAAGACGGAAAGACCCCGUGAACCUUUACUAUAGCUUGACACUGAACAUUGAGCCUUGAUGUGUAGGAUAGGUGGGAGGCUUUGAAGUGUGGACGCCAGUCUGCAUGGAGCCGACCUUGAAAUACCACCCUUUAAUGUUUGAUGUUCUAACGUUGACCCGUAAUCCGGGUUGCGGACAGUGUCUGGUGGGUAGUUUGACUGGGGCGGUCUCCUCCUAAAGAGUAACGGAGGAGCACGAAGGUUGGCUAAUCCUGGUCGGACAUCAGGAGGUUAGUGCAAUGGCAUAAGCCAGCUUGACUGCGAGCGUGACGGCGCGAGCAGGUGCGAAAGCAGGUCAUAGUGAUCCGGUGGUUCUGAAUGGAAGGGCCAUCGCUCAACGGAUAAAAGGUACUCCGGGGAUAACAGGCUGAUACCGCCCAAGAGUUCAUAUCGACGGCGGUGUUUGGCACCUCGAUGUCGGCUCAUCACAUCCUGGGGCUGAAGUAGGUCCCAAGGGUAUGGCUGUUCGCCAUUUAAAGUGGUACGCGAGCUGGGUUUAGAACGUCGUGAGACAGUUCGGUCCCUAUCUGCCGUGGGCGCUGGAGAACUGAGGGGGGCUGCUCCUAGUACGAGAGGACCGGAGUGGACGCAUCACUGGUGUUCGGGUUGUCAUGCCAAUGGCACUGCCCGGUAGCUAAAUGCGGAAGAGAUAAGUGCUGAAAGCAUCUAAGCACGAAACUUGCCCCGAGAUGAGUUCUCCCUGACUCCUUGAGAGUCCUGAAGGAACGUUGAAGACGACGACGUUGAUAGGCCGGGUGUGUAAGCGCAGCGAUGCGUUGAGCUAACCGGUACUAAUGAACCGUGAGGCUUAACCUUACAACGCCGAAG
This 2925-nucleotide ribosomal RNA is filed under the name Escherichia coli. RNAcentral's name for it is "bacterial LSU rRNA". It matches the Rfam family "Bacterial large subunit ribosomal RNA". The record is from RNAcentral. Lineage: Bacteria; Pseudomonadati; Pseudomonadota; Gammaproteobacteria; Enterobacterales; Enterobacteriaceae.